UACGAAGGGGGCUAGCGUUGCUCGGAAUUACUGGGCGUAAAGGGCGCGUAGGCGGAUAGUUUAGUCAGAGGUGAAAGCCCAGGGCUCAACCUUGGAAUUGCCUUUGAUACUGGCUAUCUUGAGUUCGGGAGAGGUGAGUGGAACUGCGAGUGUAGAGGUGAAAUUCGUAGAUAUUCGCAAGAACACCAGUGGCGAAGGCGGCUCACUGGCCCGGUACUGACGCUGAGGUGCGAAAGCGUGGGGAGCAAACAGG
RNAcentral lists this ribosomal RNA (253 nucleotides) under uncultured bacterium. RNAcentral describes it as "partial 16S ribosomal RNA". It matches the Rfam family "Bacterial small subunit ribosomal RNA", at positions 524 to 776 of the family's 1533-position model. The record is from RNAcentral.